AGGACGAACGCUGGCGGCGUGCUUAACACAUGCAAGUCGAGCGGAAAGGCCCUUCGGGGUACUCGAGCGGCGAACGGGUGAGUAACACGUGAGCAACCUGCCCUUAGCUCCGGGAUAGCUCCGGGAAACCGGAAUUAAUACCGGAUACAACCACGGCCGACAUCUGCUGUGGUGGAAAGGAUUCCGGCUAAGGAUGGGCUCGCGGCCUAUCAGCUAGUUGGUGGAGUAACGGCCCACCAAGGCGACGACGGGUAGCCGGCCUGAGAGGGCGACCGGCCACACUGGGACUGAGACACGGCCCAGACUCCUACGGGAGGCAGCAGUGGGGAAUAUUGCGCAAUGGGCGAAAGCCUGACGCAGCGACGCCGCGUGGGGGAUGAAGGCCUUCGGGUUGUAAAGCUCUUUUGUGCGGGAAGAUAAUGACGGUACCGCAAGAAUAAGCCCGGCUAACUUCGCGCCAGCAGCCGC
RNAcentral lists this ribosomal RNA (468 nucleotides) under uncultured bacterium. RNAcentral's name for it is "SSU rRNA". It matches the Rfam family "Bacterial small subunit ribosomal RNA", at positions 26 to 518 of the family's 1533-position model. The record is from RNAcentral.